Molecule: ribosomal RNA, 301 nt
Filed under: uncultured bacterium
Lineage: Bacteria
Description: partial 16S ribosomal RNA
Rfam family: Bacterial small subunit ribosomal RNA
Source: RNAcentral
CAGCCGCCGCGGGAAUACGUAGGUCCCGAGCGUUGUCCGGAUUUAUUGGGCGUAAAGCGAGCGCAGGCGGUUUGAUAAGUCUGAAGUUAAAGGCUGUGGCUCAACCAUAGUUCGCUUUGGAAACUGUCAAACUUGAGUGCAGAAGGGGAGAGUGGAAUUCCAUGUGUAGCGGUAAAAUGCGUAGAUAUAUGGAGGAACACCGGUGGCGAAGGCGGCUCUCUGGUCUGUAACUGACGCUGAGGCUCGAAAGCGUGGGGAGCGAACAGGAUUAGAUACCCCAGUAGUCCCUGUCUCUUAUACA